Molecule: long non-coding RNA, 546 nt
Organism: Homo sapiens (human)
Lineage: Eukaryota; Metazoa; Chordata; Mammalia; Primates; Hominidae
Exons: 3
Source: RefSeq, a predicted model, not a curated record
UGCUACAUUUUACAUAUCUGCUUUUUGAGGAAUAAAUACCAGAAAGAAGUGGCCUACAUAAAUCCAAAUGGCUUUAGACAUUUCAAGUACUGGAAAACAAGAUUAUAACUAUUUAUGAAGAAAUGGAACAUCCUUGCUGAAAUCAUCCUGCAACAAGUUGUGCUUUCAUUUAUAAUUGAAAACACCAAACUCUAAUGCUUGAAAAUAAAAUCUAAUAAUCUGUAGUUGGUUGAAUUCAUGGAUGAAGAACCCAUCAAUAUGGAGGACUGACUGUAGCUUUCUUGUUGGUCUGCGUAUUUAAGAAGCUGGUGGGCCUUUAUCACUCUCUGCUGCCUCAACGGCCAGCUGAAUACUGAGGACUAUCAUGACCCAGAAAAGUCUCUAGCCCCAAGAGAAAAGGAAGGACGUUGAGGCUCUGAAUCACAGCAUGGUAGCCUACCCACCAUGCUAGCAAUAAACUUUUACUCUGUGAAGCCACUGAAUACUUUAUGAUUGUUAUUUACAGAAGCUAGCAUUAACCUAACUAAUAAAAGGGUUUUAAAGUUU